Molecule: long non-coding RNA, 244 nt
Organism: Oncorhynchus keta (chum salmon)
Lineage: Eukaryota; Metazoa; Chordata; Actinopteri; Salmoniformes; Salmonidae
Exons: 3
Source: RefSeq, a predicted model, not a curated record
CGGUUACAUGCACGCCAAUAUCCUGUUAUUAUUCAGGUUACCACGGUUACAUGCACGCCAAUAUCCUGUUAUUAUUCAGGUUACCACGGUUACAUGCACGCCAAUAUCCUGUUAUUAUUCAGGUUACCACGGUUACAUGCACGCCAAUAUCCUGUUAUUAUUCAGGUUACCACGGUUACAUGCACGCCAAUAUCCUGUUAUUAUUCAGGUUACCACGGUUACAUGCACGCCAAUAUCCUGUUAU